CAGCCGCCGCGGUAAUACGGAGGGGGCUAGCGUUGUUCGGAAUUACUGGGCGUAAAGCGCACGUAGGCGGCUUGGUAAGUUAGAGGUGAAAGCCCGGAGCUCAACUCCGGAAUUGCCUUUAAGACUGCCGAGCUAGUAGGUGAGAGAGGUAAGUGGAAUUCCGAGUGUAGAGGUGAAAUUCGUAGAUAUUCGGAAGAACACCAGUGGCGAAGGCGGCUUACUGGCUCAUUCUAGACGCUGAGGUGCGAAAGCGUGGGGAGCAAACAGGAUUAGAUACCCCAGUAGUCCCUGUCUCUUAUAC
RNAcentral lists this ribosomal RNA (301 nucleotides) under uncultured bacterium. RNAcentral's name for it is "partial 16S ribosomal RNA". It matches the Rfam family "Bacterial small subunit ribosomal RNA", at positions 509 to 807 of the family's 1533-position model. The record is from RNAcentral.